Molecule: long non-coding RNA, 7284 nt
Organism: Pongo pygmaeus (Bornean orangutan)
Lineage: Eukaryota; Metazoa; Chordata; Mammalia; Primates; Hominidae
Exons: 3
Source: RefSeq, a predicted model, not a curated record
GCCAGACAGCCAAUUUGUGAAUGCAAAGGAAAAGUUCUUGAAGGAAAUUAAAAGUGCUUGUCCAGUGAACACGCAAGUGAUAAGAAAGCAGAACAGCCAUAUUGCUGAUAUGGAGAAAGUUUGAGUGGUCUGGAUAGAUCAAAUCAGCCACUACAUUUUCUUAAACCAAAGCCUAAUCCAGAGCAAGGCACUAGCUCUCUUUAAUUAUAUGAAGGCUGUGAGACAGGAGGAAGAAGAAAAGUUUGAAGCUAGCAGAGGUUGGUUUAUGAGGCUUAAGGAAAAAAGCCAUCUUUAUAACAUAAAAGUGUGUUAUGGUUAGGCUUUGUGUCCCCACACAAAUCUCAUCUUGAAUUAUAAUCCUCAUAAUCCCCACGUGUCAAGGGAGAGAACAGGUGGAGGUAAUUGGAUUAUGGGGUGAUUUCCCCCAUUCUGUUCUUGUGAUAGUGAGUUGUCAUGAGACCUGACGGUUUUAUAAGGGGCUCUUCCCCCUUUGCUCAGCAUUUCUCUUUCCUGCUGCCUUGUGAAGAAGGUGCCUUGCUUUCCCUUUGCCUUCCACCAUGAUUGUAAGUUUCCUGAGUCCUCCUCAGCCAAGCUGGACUGUAAGUCAAUUAAACCUCUUUCUUUAUAAAUUACCCAGUCUCAGGCAGUUCUUUAUAGGAGUAUGAAAAUGGACUAAUACAAAGUAUAAAGUGAAGCAGCAAGUGCUAAGGUAGAAGCUGCAACAGAUCAUGCAGAAAAUCUUGAUAAGAUGAUGAAAGCGACUACCCUAAAUAACAGAUUUUCAAUGUAGACAAAACACCUUCUUUUGAAAGAAGAUGUCAUCUAAGGACUUUUUUUUUUUUUUUUUUUGAGAUGAAGUCUCGCUCUGUCGCCCAGGCUGGAGUGCAGUGGCACGAUCUCUGCUCACUGCAAGCUCCACCUCCCGGGUUCAUGCCAUUCUUCUGCCUCAGCCUCCUGAAUAGCUGGGACUACAGGCACCCACCACUGCGCUCGGCUAAUUUUUUGUAUUUUUUAGUAGAGAUGGGAUUUCACCGUGGUCUCGAUCUCCUGACCUCGUGAUCCACCCACCUCGGCCUCCCAAAGUGCUGGGAUUAUAGGCGUGAGACACCGCGCCCGGCCCAUCUAAGGACUUUGAUAGCUAGAGAAGAGAAGUCAAUGCCUGGCUGCAGAGCUUCAAAGGACAGAAUGACUCUUGUUAGAGGAUAAUGCAACUGGUGACUUUAAGUUGAGGCCAGUGCUCUCUGACCAUUCUGAAAAUUCUACAGCCCUUAAGAAUUAUGCUGAAUCUACUCGGCCUCUACUCUGUCAAUGGAACAACAAAUCCUGGAUGACAGCACAUCUAUUUAAAGCAUGGUUUACUGAAUAUUUUAAGCUCCCUAUUGAGACUCUGUUGAGACCGGAAAAAAAAGAUUUAUUUCAUAUUACUGCUCAUUAAUAAUGUUCCUAGUCACCCAAGAGCCCUGACUGAGAUUUACAAGGAGAUUAAUAUUGCUUCUUGCCUGCUAAUACAACAUCUAUUCUGCAGCCCAUGGAUCAAGGAAUAAUUUCAAACUUCAAAUCUUAUUAUUUGAGAAAUAUAUUUCAUAAGGCUAGACCUGCUUCAGUGAUUCCUCUUAUAGAUAUGGCAAAGUAAACUGAAAACUUUCUGGAAAUGAUUCACCACUCUAGAUGCCAUUAAGAUUAUUUGUGAUUCAUGGGAGGAGGUCAAAAUGUCAAUUUAUUAUAAUAGGAAUUUGGAAGAAGUUAAUUCCAGGCCUCAUGAAUGACUUCAUGACUUUAGUGGAGGAAGUACCUGAAGAUGUGAUGGAAAUAGCAAGAGAACUAGAUUUAGAAGUGGCACCUGAAGAUGUGACUAAAUUGCUGCAAUAUUAUAAUAAAACUUGAAUGGAUGAGGAGUUGUUUCUUGUGGAUAAGAAAAAAAAAAAGGUUUCAUUAGAUGGAAUCUAUUGCUGGUAAAGAUUCUCUAAACAUUGUUGAAAUGACAGCAGAGGAUUUAGAAUAUUACAAAACUUUGUUGGUAAAGCAAUGGCAGGGUUUGAGAGUACUGAUUCCAAUUUUGUAAGAAGUUCUAUGGGUACAAUGCUAUCAAACACCAUCACAUUCUGCAGAGAAAUCUUUCAUGAAAAGUCAACUGAUGUGGCCAACUUCAUUUGUUGUAUUAUUUUAAGAAAUUGCUGCAGCCAUCUAAACCUUCAGCAACCGCCACCCCCCCUUUUUUUUCUGUCACCCAAGUGGGAGUGCAGUGGCACUACCAUAGCUCACUGUAACCUCUAUCUCCCCAGCUCAAGUGAUCCUCCUACCUCAGCCUCCCAAAGUGCUGGGAUUACAGUCAUGAGCCACUGUACCUGGCCUAUCAGUCACCACCCUGAUCAGUCAGUAGUCAUCAAUACCAAGGCAAGACCCUCUAUAAGCAAAAAGGUGAUGACUCACUAAAGACUCAUAUGAGCAUUAGCAUUUUUUAGCAAUAAAGUAUUUUUAACUUAGGAUUUGUAUAUUUUUAGACAUAAUGUUAUUGCACAUUUAACAGACUAUAGUGUAAACAUAACUCUUUAUAUGCACUGAGAAACCAAAAAAUUUGUGUCAUUCCCUUUAUUGUGAUACUUUAUUGCAGUGGUGUGGAACUGAACCUGCAAUAUCUCUGAGGUAUGCCUGUACAUAAUUAUAUACUAUUUUAUAUUGGUUUUGAGUCAUUUCAUGCAGGUAAAUUUGAUUAUCUUAAUUAAAUUGCAAUACCUUUAAAGUCAAAGACUGAGUCUUCUUUGGACUUUUUAUUCUCAUGACAGUGAACUAUUGGCAUGGCUCAAUCCAUUGACCUGUUUUGGUUCCUGAUGAAGUUUUGUUAAUUUAAAUGAGAAAAAUAAGGACAGUGAAGUAAGUUUUUUAUAAAACUAAAUUUAUUUGCUUUAUAAAACAGUUUAAUAUUAUGCCUUUCCUAUAUUUUUUGUGUCAAGUUAUCUCUUUUUCUAGAUGAUUAUAAUAGAUGAUAAUUUUUAAAUGUUUCUAUUUGUCAAAGUACAACAUUGUCCAUCCUGUGUCAAUGUCUAACUUUUCCUUGUACUUAUUCAAAUAAUCUCAUAGUUGGAACUUAUUAAAUACUUAUUGUGUCACACAAUAUGCUGGUAAACACUGAAAUGGGGAGGGGUUAUUUUCAUUCUAUUUUAGAAUGGCACAGUUUCUAUGGUAUAGUGACUAAUCUGAACUAAUACGUAAAAGAUUAGGAAUCACUUGAGAAUCAUUUUCAAAGAAUAACUUUUUUAAAUGUAGCACACUGCUGACUUGUGUAAAAAUUAAAUGUGAUGCUGAACUUGUUUGAAACUCAAAUUUUUGGACCCCACCCACAGACCAACUGAAUCAGGAUCUCUGGGUUUAGGAACUUUAAACUCACACUUUAAAGUAGUUCUGCAAGUGAUUAGGAUGCAGAUGGUUCAUGGAGUUAAGAACAACUGCUUGAGCCGAGAUCGCGCCACUGCACUCCAGCCUGGGCGACAGAGCAAGACUCCGUCUCAAAAAAAAAAAAAAAAAAAAAAGAACAACUGCUAUCCUGGCAGGCUGAUGCAGAUAAACAGAGCGCUUAAAAAGCACUGUCUGGAUAUCUUCAGAGGGAAAAAGGAGAAAGUUAAUUGAAUUGGUGACACUUCGGGUCUCUCACAGAGGAAGACUCAUUCUGGGCCUGGCGUGGUGUCUCACACCUUUAAUCCCUGCACUUUUGGAGGCCAAGGCGGGAGGAUCGGUUGAGCUCAGGAGUUUGAGACCAGCCUGGACAACAUGGUAAAACCCUAUCACUGCAAAAAAUACAAAACUUAACUGGGUGUGGUGGCAUGCACCCGUAGUUCCAGAUACUCAGGAAGCUGAAGUGGGACGACCACUUGAACCCAAGAGGCCUGGGCUGCAGUGAGCUAAGAUGGUGCCACUGCACUCCAGCCUCAGUGACUGAGUGAGACCCUGUCUCAAAAAAAAAAGACUCAUUCUGGAUAAUUGCCCUUGUUUCUGAUUUUUUUCCUCUAGAAUUCUGAUUUUUUUCCUCUAUCUCAGUUGUGUCUUUGUCCAUUAAAAUAGGCCACAAAGAUUGAUGAUAAAUUUGUUCUCUGAGAUAGCACCUAGAGGAACAGUUAUCCAAAGUGUCCUGUGCCCUGUCAAAGACUGAAAUAACCACCAUUGCUGAAAUUAUGUGUUUAUAGAUAAUGCCUCCCUAUUUUGGCAUUUUUCUUUCAAAAAUGAAUUAUCACCAGUACCCACCUUUAUUCAUAUAUUUUAUCCGCAACCUCAUUGCUGAGUAUCUAAAAUAGAUUUGCAGCUGAAGAACUACUCAUUCCCUUGUCUUCCCAUACCAGGCCUGUAGCCUGCUUUCAAACUUAUUCCCCAUGCACAACACAAUGUGAGCUGUAUCUUAGAUUUAUUCUCACUUUGUAUUCGGAGUCAAUACACUUGGUAAGUGCACAGCUGUGACACACUAGGAUUCCUACAGGCUUUAAGCAAAUGUACGUGAUUUUAUCAGUCCCAGAAGACUAGCCCUUGAGAGAUUUGCUUGGGUAACAUUUUUGGCAGUGCUUCUUUCUUUGUUUUUAUUAAUAUUCUGGAUUCAUGUUUGUGAGACUCUCAAAUUUAUUUCAGAUUAGAUGAAGGUGACCUUCCCCUUCACCAAGCAGAAUCUCCCAUGAGACUCAUGAAUCCUCUUGAGGCCAAUUACAGCUAUCACUUGUUAACUAUUGGAGUACCUUCAGUCUUAAAAGAGCUGCUAGAAAAUUAAGGCUGCAACAUGAAAGAAGAACAAAAUGGUCAGGCAUAUCACACAUUUUUAUCAAAUGAUUUGGUUUAGGACUUUAUAACCUGGUUAGUACUUGAGCACUGAAAGAUAUUUUGAAUUUAAAGUAAGAUGGAGAAAGUGAUGGAAGCUAAAUCACAGAGGAUAGAAAUACGAUCAAUCAUAUUCAGAACAGAAGCAUCUUGGGCUCAAUGUCUGGGAACAAUGAGAUUAGGCUGCUUUAGAACUUAGCUGUCAUUUGUUUUGGUGACCUCCACCUGCAAGAGGACACUCUUCUGUCCCAGUGAGACUGAGGUGAGAAUCACAAGACCACUGCCCUCUAUCUCAUCUUUUCUCCAAGCCUUAGACCAUCAUGGGAUUCACUAAUAUCAUUCACACUUCAGGAAUGGUAUAUCAGAGUGAGCCCCUCUUUUCUGCUCAUCUUUCUGCCUCUCUAGAAAAGAGAUAAUUUCACUGUUUACCUCAGGAAACACAAAAACUAAUGAUAAAUGUAAAUGAUAGAUGAAGGAAGCAUUGAAAGCUGUAAAGUUGAAAGUAGGACCUAAUACCCUGUAGUAAUGUGUAUUCCUUUUUAAAAGAAAACACACGAGUCAUUUUAGAAAGGUUAAUUUCUGCUACCUUUCAAAAAUAGUCUCAGAAUAAUUGGAGAGAAAAAUUGUGACAAAACACUGGGGGCACUAUUGGUGAAAGAAAACUGUAUAUUCUUGUCUUUCAGUCAGGAAAGAAUAAUAUCUACUUGAUGGAAAUGAUUUUUUUUCCUCAGAAACUGUAGUACUGGCUACAAGAAAACAGAUAAUUUAAACUAUUAUUUCUCAGAAUGUUUUAUCUCCAUGACCCAAAGAUAGCUUCCCUCCAUGAGAAAAUAUCCCGGUGUUUGUUUUCGAGUUGUCAUCAACACAAAGCAGCAGCACCUUCACAUAUAAUGUGUUUCCACCUUUUCAAAGCAUUUUCACUUGUUUCUCAAUUGUUUAUUACAAUAAUAACCCUGUGUUGACAUUAUUAUCUUCAUUUCACAAAUGAGGCAGCUCAGAUUCAGACAUUAAGGGACCUUCACAAUAUACUUAGCUUAUGGUGGCAGAACAAAGGCAAAACCAAAAGUCCUUGCCAAAGACUACUCCAUUUGUCUUCAAUGGACUCCCUGAGUUUUUCAUUGUUGCUCUUUUGUGGUAUGGCUGAAGCCCUCCAAAUAUGGAAAAGACAAGCAAGUACAAGAUAGGCACUUAGAUUGUCAUUCCUCAACUGUCUUCUCCACAGCCUUUUCUUCCCAAUAUAUAAAAUACAGCAAUAAAGGACAGAAGACUAACAAUUUAAACACUGAACUGUUGCUCAAAUUUACUCCUACUGUAUAAUAGUAUAAUUUGUUCUUAUAAGGUUGUAAAACUGCACUGCAUACUUAAAUUGCAUGUUUCACAUGUCUAUACUAUUCAGCUCCUUUUCUCAUCUCUGUGGUGCCUACCCCCCAACAUACUACUGGCUUAACAAUUCCCAUGAAACAGUGUUUGAAUUUAAGAGGCAGGGCUGUGAGAAACACAAAUGGCCAUCCUGUCAUGUAUGUGCUUCUAUCACAGAAAUUUGAUUGUUCUCUAAAGGCAAGCAUGGAUUUUUUUUUUUAUUUCCAGCAGCUUCAAGGUAAUUAUCUACUUAACCUGCAUAGUAGCAGUUGUUGGGGCUCAGUAAACCUCAAAAUGUACCAUUUUGGUAUGCUAAUUAUUUCAAACUGAGGGCACUUGGGAAACAGCAAAUACAAGAAAGGGCUCUCUCUGAACUCCCGUAAGUGGCUGAAGAUAGAGCCUCCAAAAAGUAACACAAUAGUCAUAGGUAUCCUCCCUGGGAAUCUCAUCAGUGAAGGAAGAUUAACUCACAGGAGACACCACGCUCCAGAAAGACUUUGUCACAAACUAUCCAUCACCUCUUCUUCCGAUGAGAUCCUUGGAGACAACUUUUAUUACUUGAGAGAUGUUAUCUGUAUAACAAGACAACCUUUGUUCUCCAUGCAUUCCUUCCUCUUACUGUCCUGCAGCUUGUAUAGACACCAUCCCCCAUAAACCACCAACCCCUACGCCUUUCUUUAGCUCAGGAUGCUAUAAAAAAUUCUAUCAUCUGGCCCCUCUUCAAGUCCUCUACUUUGUGGGACUCCUGUGUGUAAUUAAAAUAGCUUUUCUCCUACUAAACUGUCUACUGUCAGUUUAUUUCAUAGAUUCAAUUAUUGAACCUUCAGAGGAUAGAAAAUUUUCUCUCCCCUACACAAUUAUAAGAGUAAUUUAGAAUUUUACUUGUUUUAUAUCAUUAGUUAUCUUUAUUUGUAUACAUGCAUAUGUCUUCUCUGUCACUCCAAAUGAAGUGAUACGCACAUAUAUAUGUAAAAUACAUAUUUCAUAUUUCUGUGUCCUGUUUUCCCUCCAUCCCUUGCAUUUUGCCUUGUGUAUUGUUAGUGUUCAAAUAAAUAUUUGUUAUAUCAAACAAGGAAAUUAAAGAUUGAAAAGUCCUACAAACCUAUCAAUAGUAAACAAUAGUGGCUGUAC